Molecule: long non-coding RNA, 689 nt
Organism: Populus nigra (black poplar)
Lineage: Eukaryota; Viridiplantae; Streptophyta; Magnoliopsida; Malpighiales; Salicaceae
Exons: 2
Source: RefSeq, a predicted model, not a curated record
CUUUCCAUUGUCUGAUCUUAAUGUCUGAAUCCUGCACCCACUUUGGUUUUCCACCCAUGUUUUAUACUUCCAAAACACAUUAGCAACUUCUGAUUUGAAUUUAAGAAAGAAAAUCCAACAGAACCUGGAAUAAUCAUCAAUGAAGAUGAUAUAAUAUUUGCUGCCAUUCAGUGAAGCUGUACUCAAAGGACCUCCAACGUCUGUAUGUACCAGCUGAAGUUUUCGUGUUGCUCUCCAGGUUGCAUGAGGGAAAGGUUUUCUGGCCUGCUUACCAUAUUGACAUGCUGCACAGUUUGCUGACCUGUUCUCCAGUUGUGGUACUCCUUUUACAAGACCACUAUCAAUCAACCAAGAAUCAUUCGAACUAUUUCCUAUUGAAAAACAUGAUGCAACAAACAGCUGCUCCUCUUCAGGUUGUUGUGCAACAGGAUUCGCCUUUUCUUUAUUUUGUUGUGUCCUGCAGAUUUUUUCAACAUGUCCAAUCUGUCCACAUUUUCUGCACUUGAUAUCUGGUCUCCACCAGCACUUGAUCGGCUGAUGAUUUGUUUUUUUACAGUAGGUACAUGGUGGAAAUGUUUCCACCUUGUUUCUGUACGUUUGAACCUUUUUCUUCUUGAUGAAUCUCCUGUCUUUGCCUCCUCCUUGAUAUUGAGUUCUUGCUUGAAAAGCUCCCUGCAUUGAUUCUUCAA